This 305-nucleotide ribosomal RNA is filed under the name uncultured bacterium. RNAcentral describes it as "bacterial SSU rRNA". It matches the Rfam family "Bacterial small subunit ribosomal RNA", at positions 333 to 632 of the family's 1533-position model. The record is from RNAcentral.
GCACCUACGGGACGCAGCAGUAGGGAAUCUUCCACAAUGGGCGAAAGCCUGAUGGAGCAACGCCGCGUGGGUGAAGAAGGUCUUCGGAUCGUAAAACCCUGUCGUUAGAGAAGAAAGAGCGUGAGAGUAACUGUUCACGUUUCGACGGUAUCUAACCAGAAAGCCACGGCUAACUACGUGCCAGCAGCCGCGGUAAUACGUAUGUGGCAAGCGUUAUCCGGAUUUAUUGGGCGUAAAGGGAACGCAGGCGGUCUUUUAAGUCUGAUGUGAAAGCCUUCGGCUUAACCGGAGCAGUGAAUUGGAAA